CGACUUAGCUCAAUUGGCAGAGCAACGCAUUCGUAAUGCGUAGGUUGAUGGUUCAAUUCCGUUAGUCGGC
RNAcentral lists this transfer RNA (70 nucleotides) under human gut metagenome. It matches the Rfam family "tRNA". From Rfam's summary of the family: Transfer RNA (tRNA) molecules are approximately 80 nucleotides in length. Their secondary structure includes four short double-helical elements and three loops (D, anti-codon, and T loops). The record is from RNAcentral. RNAcentral also lists the same sequence under 1 other name.